UGCCAGGCCACGGGCGCCGCUGCCGCACUUCCGGGCGCCGUUCCAGGUGAGCCAGGGUGUCCCAAGAAUCCCCCACACUCCCCUCACCCCAAAAUAAGGGAUUCUUCUCUCCAAGCUCCCACCCAGAGGUGCCCAGUACUGGGGCUAGGGUUCCCAGGCGGAGGCCGUGUAGCCAUUGGAGGAGGCAGAGACACUCGGAUGCCCGGGUCCCAGCGAGGCCCAACCGGCUCCCCAAUCGCGAACCUGCCCUGCUGCGCUGCGGAGGUCGUGCCUCAGGUUUCCAGGAGAAUCUGGCUGCCCGGAAGCGGAGCAUGACUCCUCCCCUUCGUCCCCUUGGUCCCCGCCAGGCGGCGCCAUUGGCCGGUCCAGGAUUCCCCUGUGGCUUCGAGCCCUUGUCACCUAAGGGCGUUGAAAUUACUGAGGAGAGAGAUGCAGAAACGGCCGGUCAGAGAGCAGUCUACCACUUAGAAUAAAGUUUCCCUUGUGACUGUCAUUUUUCAGCAGUAGGAUUUCCUGGUAUAUAUAUAAACGUUCCUGUCCUCUCUCUACCUACAAAGGUCCUGAUUCAAUAGGUCUGGGGUGGGGCAUGGAAAUAGCAUUUUUAACAUCAGCUCCAGGUUGAUUGAUGCCCAGAGUCUAGGACCUCACCUUCAGAACCAUUGCGAUGGGUUGGUUUGGGGACUCUUUAAGUCCAGGAAGGCUUCUAAGAGGAAGAUUCUACCUGGGCUUUGUAUUCAGGGACCAGAAUAUCCAUUGUUUCUUUGUCCCCAUCGUGAUGCAUUUCCUCCCCUCGCCCCUACCAGGAUGCAGAAAAUCUCAGUGCUGCUCUUCCUGGCCUGGGUCUGCUUCCUCUACUAUGCUGGCAUUGCCCUCUUCACCAGUGGCUUCCUGCUCACCCGUUUGGAGCUCACCAACCACAGCACCUGCCAAGAGCCCCCAGGCCCUGGGUCCCUGCCAUGGGGGAGCCAAGGGGAACCCAGGGCCUGUUGGAUGGCUUCCCGAUUCUCCCGGGUUGUGUUGGUGCUGAUAGAUGCUUUGCGAUUUGACUUUGCCCAGCCCCAGCGCUCACACAUGCCUGGAGAGCCUCCUGUUUCCCUACCCUUCCUGGGCAAACUAGGCUCCCUGCAGAGGAUCCUGGAGACUCAGCCCCACCAUGCCCGGCUCUACCGAUCUCAGGUUGAUCCCCCUACCACCACCAUGCAGCGCCUCAAGGCCCUCACCACUGGCUCACUGCCUACUUUUAUCGAUGCUGGUAGUAACUUUGCCAGCCACGCCAUAGUGGAAGAUAAUCUCAUUAAGCAGCUCACCAGUGCAGGAAGGCGUGUAGUCUUCAUGGGAGAUGAUACCUGGAAAGACCUUUUCCCUGGAGCUUUCUCCCAAGCCUUCUUCUUCCCAUCCUUCAAUGUCAGAGACCUACACACAGUGGACAAUGGCAUCCUGGAACACCUCUACCCCACCAUGGACAGUGGUGAAUGGGAUGUGCUGAUUGCUCACUUCCUGGGUGUGGAUCAUUGUGGCCAUAAGCAUGGCCCUCACCACCCUGAAAUGGCCAAGAAACUUAGCCAGAUGGACCAGGUGAUCCAGGGACUUGUGGAGCGUCUGGAGAAUGACACACUGCUGGUGGUAGCUGGGGACCACGGGAUGACCAUGAAUGGGGACCAUGGAGGGGACAGUGAGCUGGAGGUCUCAGCUGCACUGUUUCUGUACAGCCCCACAGCCCUCUUCCCCAGUGCCCCACCAGAGGAGCCAGAGGUGAUUCCACAAGUCAGCCUUGUGCCCACACUGGCACUGUUGCUGGGUCUACCCAUCCCAUUUGGGAACACUGGGGAGGUGAUGGCUGAGCUGUUCUCAGGGAGUGAGGACUCCCAGCCCCACUCCUCUGCUCUAGCCCAGGCCACCGCCCUUCAUCUCAAUGCCCAGCAGGUGUCCCGAUUUCUUCAUACCUAUUCAGCUGCUACUCAGGACCUUCAAGCUAAGGAGCUUCAUCAGCUGCAGAACCUCUUCUCUAAGGCCUCUGCUGACUACCAGUGGUUUCUGCAGAGUCCCCAGGGGGCUGAGGCGACACUGCGGACUGUGAUUGCUGAGCUACAGCAGUUCCUGCGGGGAGCUCGGGCCAUGUGCAUUGAGUCUUGGGCUCGUUUUUCUCUGGUCCGCAUGGUGGGAGGCGCUGCUCUCUUGGCUGCUGCCUGCUUUCUCUGCUUGCUGGCAUCCCAGUGGACAACAUCCCCAGGUUUCCCCUUCCGCCCUCUACUCCUGAUACCUGUGGCCUGGGGCCUGGCUGGGGCCAUAGUGUAUGCUGGACUCCUGGCAACUAUUGGGUUGAAGCUGGAUCCAGUGCUUCUAGGGGCUGCGGCUGCAAUGAGCUCACUCCCCCCUUUUCUGUGGAAAGCCUGGGCUGGCUGGGGGCCUAAGAGGCCCCUGGCAAUGCUGCUCCCCUUCCCUGGGUCUGUCUCGUUACUCAUGCUCUUUCGCUUGGCAGCAUUCUUCUCUGAUAGUUUUGUUGUAGCUGAGGCCAGGGCCACCCCCUUCCUUUUGGGCUCAUUCGUCUUGCUCCUGGUUGCCCAGCUUCACUGGGAGGGCCAGCUUCUGCUACCUAAGCUGGUCACAGUACCUCGCCUUGGUUCUUCAUCCUCAGCAGGCCUCCCACGGUAUGGUGGGGCAUAUGCCCUGAGGCUUGGAAUUGGGUUGCUUUUAUGUACAAGGCUAGCUGGGCUUUUUCAUCGCUGCCCUGAAGAGACACCUGCUUGCCACUCCUCUCCCUGGCUGAGUCCUCUGGCAUCCAUGGUGGGCGGUCGAGCCAAGAAUUUGUGGUAUGGAGCUUGUGUAGGGGCACUGGUGGCCCUGUUAGCUGCUGUACGUCUGUGGCUUCAGCGCUAUGGUAAUCUCAAGAGCCCUGAGCCUCCCAUGCUCUUUGUGCGCUGGGGACUGCCCCUAAUGGCACUGGGCACUGCUGCCUACUGGGCACUGGCUUCGGGGGCAGAUGAAGCACCCCCACGUCUCCGGGCCCUGGUUGCUGGGGCAUCAGUUGUACUACCUAGGGCUGUGGCAGGACUGGCUGUUUCAGGGGUUGUGCUGCUACUCUGGAAGCCUGUGACAGUGCUGGUGAAGGCUGGGACAGGUGCUCCAAGGACGAGGACUGUCCUCACUCCCUUCUCAGGCCCCCCAACUACUCAGGCUGACCUGGAUUAUGUGGUCCCUCAAAUCUAUCGACACAUGCAGGAGGAGUUCCGGGGCCGGCUAGAGAGGACCAAACCUCAGGGUCCCCUGACUGUGGCUGCUUAUCAGCUGGGGAGCGUCUACUCAGCUGCUAUGGUCACAGCCCUCACCCUGUUGGCCUUCCCACUUCUGCUAUUGCAUGCAGAGCGCAUCAGCCUUGUGUUCCUGCUUCUGUUUCUGCAGAGCUUCCUUCUCCUGCAUCUGCUUGCUGCUGGGAUACCCAUCACCACCCCUGGUCCUUUCACUGUGCCAUGGCAGGCAGUCUUAGCUUGGGCCCUCAUGGCCACACAGACCUUCUACGCCACGGGCCACCAGCCUGUCUUUCCAGCCAUCCAUUGGCACGCAGCCUUUGUGGGAUUCCCAGAGGGUCAUGACUCCUCUACCUGGCUUCCUGCUUUGCUAGUGGGAGCCAACACCUUUGCCUCCCACCUCCUCUUUGCAGUAGGUUGCCCAUUGCUCCUGCUCUGGCCCUUCCUGUGUGAGGGUCAAGGGCUUCGGAAGACACGGAAGCCCCCAGGGAAUGAAGCUGAAGCCAGAGUCAGGCCUGAGGAGGAGGAGCCACUGAUGGAGAUGCGGCUCCGGGAUGCACCUCACCACUUCAGUGCAGCACUGCUGCAGCUGGGCCUCAAGUACCUCUUUGUCCUUGGCGUUCAGAUCCGUACCCUGCCAUGCAUUUGGGGAUCACUGCCUCAGUGGACAGACUGGAAAAGCUGAGAUUCUGGCCUGCGCCUUGGCAGCCUCCAUCCUCCGCAGGCAUCUCAUGGUCUGGAAGGUGUUUGCCCCCAAGUUCAUUUUUGAGGCUUUGG
Lemur catta (Ring-tailed lemur) is the source of this 4022-nucleotide RNA transcript. It is a transcript of the gene named phosphatidylinositol glycan anchor biosynthesis class O, with no coding region annotated. The record is from RefSeq and is a predicted model, not a curated record. The transcript is spliced from 11 exons. NCBI's taxonomy places the organism in Eukaryota, Metazoa, Chordata, Mammalia, Primates, Lemuridae.